UAAGUUGUUGAUACAACAUUAGGAUACAUUCACGAGCAUUCUGUUUUCCAUCCCCACUUUUAGCCCCAUUAACUUCAAACGGCUCAACCGGUUUUUUUAUAUAUUUUUCAUUUAUUUUUAUUAUUAAUUCUUUUAUAGGGCACA
Long non-coding RNA from Melitaea cinxia (Glanville fritillary), 144 nucleotides. RefSeq lists it as uncharacterized. NCBI's taxonomy places the organism in Eukaryota, Metazoa, Arthropoda, Insecta, Lepidoptera, Nymphalidae. The record is from RefSeq and is a predicted model, not a curated record. The transcript is spliced from 3 exons.